AGCGAACGCUGGCGGCGUGCCUAACACAUGCAAGUCGAGCGAGAAAGGGGGCUUCGGCCCCUCAGUACAGCGGCGAACGGGUGCGUAACACGUGGGUGAUCUGUCCUCGAGACGGGGAUAACCCAGCGAAAGUUGGGCUAAUACCGGAUAAGACCACAAGAGGAAACUCUCGGGGUCAAAGGGUGCUUCCUUUUGGGAGCAUUCGCUGGAGGAGGAGCCCGCGUCCUAUCAGCUUGUUGGAGGGUAACGGCCUACCAAGGCAAAGACGGGUAGCUGGUCUGAGAGGAUGACCAGCCACACGGGGGACUGAGACACGGCCCAGACUCCUACGGGAGGCAGCAGUGGGGGAAUUAUUGGACAAUGGGCGCAGGCCUGAUCCAGCCAUGCCGCGUGGAUGAUGAAGGCCCUAGGGUGU
RNAcentral lists this ribosomal RNA (415 nucleotides) under uncultured bacterium. Its description in RNAcentral is "bacterial SSU rRNA". It matches the Rfam family "Bacterial small subunit ribosomal RNA", at positions 30 to 426 of the family's 1533-position model. The record is from RNAcentral.